AACGAACGCUGGCGGCAUGCCUAACACAUGCAAGUCGAACGAGACCUUCGGGUCUAGUGGCGCACGGGUGCGUAACGCGUGGGAACCUGCCCUUAGGUUCGGAAUAACUCCCCGAAAGGGGUGCUAAUACCGGAUAAUGUCUUCGGACCAAAGAUUUAUCGCCUUUGGAUGGGCCCGCGUUGGAUUAGCUAGUUGGUAGGGUAAAAGCCUACCAAGGCGACGAUCCAUAGCUGGUCUGGGAGGAUGAUCAGCCACACUGGGACUGAGACACGGCCCAGACUCCGACGGGAGGGAGCAGUGGGGAAUAUUGGACAAUGGGCGAAAGCCUGAUCCAGCAAUGCCGCGUGAGUGAUGAAGGCCUUAGGGUUGUAAAGCUCUUUUACCCGGGAUGAUAAUGACAGUACCGGGAGAAUAAGCGCCGGCUAACUCCGUG
This 433-nucleotide ribosomal RNA is filed under the name uncultured bacterium. RNAcentral's name for it is "partial 16S ribosomal RNA". It matches the Rfam family "Bacterial small subunit ribosomal RNA", at positions 29 to 507 of the family's 1533-position model. The record is from RNAcentral.